Molecule: microRNA precursor, 102 nt
Filed under: Dichanthelium oligosanthes
Lineage: Eukaryota; Viridiplantae; Streptophyta; Magnoliopsida; Poales; Poaceae
Source: RNAcentral
UUAGCCAAGAAUGGCUUGCCUAUCUCUACUAUUUGGUUCAUCAGGGAGUCCUUAGCUCAUGAUGGAUGAAAUGUGGAUGAUGGCAGGCCAUUCUGGCUAAGU